UACAGAGGGGGCAAGCGUUGUUCGGAAUUACUGGGCGUAAAGCGAGUGUAGGCGGUUUGGAUAGUCGGAUGUGAAAGCCCCGGGCUCAACCCGGGAAGUGCAUUCGAUACUCCCAAGCUAGAGUAUCGGAGAGGUUGGUGGAAUUCUCGGUGUAGAGGUGAAAUUCGUAGAUAUCGAGAGGAACACCGGUGGCGAAGGCGGCCAACUGGACGAAUACUGACGCUGAGACUCGAAAGCGUGGGGAGCAAACAGG
This 253-nucleotide ribosomal RNA is filed under the name uncultured bacterium. RNAcentral's name for it is "partial 16S ribosomal RNA". It matches the Rfam family "Bacterial small subunit ribosomal RNA", at positions 524 to 776 of the family's 1533-position model. The record is from RNAcentral.